Long non-coding RNA from Zingiber officinale, 794 nucleotides. RefSeq lists it as uncharacterized. The transcript is spliced from 4 exons. NCBI's taxonomy places the organism in Eukaryota, Viridiplantae, Streptophyta, Magnoliopsida, Zingiberales, Zingiberaceae. The record is from RefSeq and is a predicted model, not a curated record.
CCGAGCCCUCAUCCACUCCACUCUUCUUCUCUCGCGCCCGACGCCGGCCCUAACCGCCGGCCGGCGGUUUCUUCCUCCCGAGCCGCACACCCGAAGACCUUUUCUUCAUCUUCUUCUCCACCCGAGCCGAAGCUUUCCCCUGCCCUAAAAUCGCCGAAAGCUUGCUCUAUGCCCACUGGUGCCGACGCCGAGCACUGCCGCUCUUCCUCAGCCCUAGCCGCCGCACGGGACAUUGCCGGCCACCAGGACCGACCCAGGCCGCUGUCGCCGUGGGGAUCCCAGCGCCGCCGACGCCCUUCUCCCGUUUCUCUCUGCCCUAGUUUUGCACAGUGUCACCGCUACCACAACCGGCAACCGGCUGUCCUCCCUCUGCCGACGCCGACUCCUCCACUGUGCAGUGCCUAGCCGACUCCUUCCUUUGUCCUAGGUUCCCUCUUGUUGCUGGAUCCGAACCCUAACUCCUCUGGGUUGGGUUGUGGUCAGCCUACCCGACUGGUAAUUUUUCCUACUGCGCCACCAGCUGCCUUCUUCCUGCUUCGCCACCAGCUGCCGGCAGAGAGAAAAACAAGGGCUAUCGAGUUGGCAGCUUCUCCGGAUCUUGGCAGUAAGUUCUAUAGGUUUUGAGCAGUGUUGAGGCAUCAGGGAAUUUGGGUAAGGUUGGUGUUAAGUUAAUUACUGUUGAGACAUUGUUGGAGAAAGCCCUAAUCGCUGUGAUCUUCCUUUUGUGUGAUCCAGAGGACCUUGACGCGAGACAAGUUUCUUAACGUCCGGAUUUGGACUGAUUGGAUCUUUCC